This 393-nucleotide ribosomal RNA is filed under the name uncultured bacterium. Its description in RNAcentral is "bacterial SSU rRNA". It matches the Rfam family "Bacterial small subunit ribosomal RNA", at positions 30 to 412 of the family's 1533-position model. The record is from RNAcentral.
AUUGAACGCUGGCGGCAGGCCUAACACAUGCAAGUCGAACGGUAACAGGAAGAAGCUUGCUUCUUUGCUGACGAGUGGCGGACGGGUGAGUAAUGUCUGGGAAACUGCCUGAUGGAGGGGGAUAACUACUGGAAACGGUAGCUAAUACCGCAUAACGUCGCAAGACCAAAAGAGGGGGGACCCUUUCGGGGCCUCUUGCCAUCGGAUGUGCCCAGAUGGGAUUAGCUAGUAGGUGGGGUAACGGCUCACCUAGGCGACGAUCCCUAGCUGGUCUGAGAGGAUGACCAGCCACACUGGAACUGAGACACGGUCCAGACUCCUACGGGAGGCAGCAGUGGGGAAUAUUGCACAAUGGCCGCAAGCCUGAUGCAGCCAUGCCGCGUGUAUGAAGAA